This 497-nucleotide ribosomal RNA is filed under the name uncultured bacterium. RNAcentral's name for it is "partial 16S ribosomal RNA". It matches the Rfam family "Bacterial small subunit ribosomal RNA", at positions 28 to 507 of the family's 1533-position model. The record is from RNAcentral.
GACGAACGCUGGCGGCGUGCCUAAUACAUGCGAGUUGAGCGCUGAAGGUUGGUACUUGUACCAACUGGAUGAGCAGCGAACGGGUGAGUAACGCGUGGGGAAUCUGCCUUUGAGCGGGGGACAACAUUUGGAAACGAAUGCUAAUACCGCAUAAAAACUUUAAACACAAGUUUUAAGUUUGAAAGAUGCAAUUGCAUCACUCAAAGAUGAUCCCGCGUUGUAUUAGCUAGUUGGUGAGGUAAAGGCUCACCAAGGCGAUGAUACAUAGCCGACCUGAGAGGGUGAUCGGCCACAUUGGGACUGAGACACGGCCCAAACUCCUACGGGAGGCAGCAGGAGGGAAUCUUCGGCAAUGGACGAAAGUCUGAACGAGCAACGCCGCGGGAGUGAAGAAGGGUUUCGGAUCGUAAAACUCUGUUGGUAGAGAAGAACGUUGGUGAGAGUGGAAAGCUCAUCAAGUGACGGUAACUACCCAGAAAGGGACGGCUAACUACGUG